Long non-coding RNA from Serinus canaria (Common canary), 548 nucleotides. RefSeq lists it as uncharacterized. Lineage: Eukaryota; Metazoa; Chordata; Aves; Passeriformes; Fringillidae. The record is from RefSeq and is a predicted model, not a curated record. The transcript is spliced from 4 exons.
AGUCUUUAACAAUGAGGGCACUGGCUACAGUAACAGAGUUAAAUGGCACUUUUUGUUCCGAAGAACAACUGAAGUGUCACAGCCUGUACUUUGACUGAAUCCAAUGGUUGCCUAGAGGACAUUACUAAAGAGAAAAAAACCAAAACCAGUUUUGUGUUCAGACAGGACAAAAUAAUUUCUUCAGGGAAUAACUUGACCUGCAGAUGGUUCUCAAAUGUUCUGGACAAGAAAGUCACCUUACCUUUUUGUAUUGUUUCAGUAAGUAUUCUCACUGCUGCCUGUUGAAUAUGAAAUGAGGUAACACUGUCAUGAAAGGAACACCUUCCCAAUUUCAAUCUGUUAUGUCAAUCAUUAAUACACAUUUAAACAUUACAUAGUAACCCCAGGAGCUUUCAAAUUCCCAUUUCCCAUUCCCUGAUGCAAGCCUGUUUUAAUGCUGCAGUGGUCAGGAAAGAAGCAGUGUUGAAAAUCCUUGUUGGCUUUUCUUGGAAUGUAUUUCCUGCCUGCUUUUUUCCCUAACCAUUCCUGUGACAAAUCCAGUGUCUGAG